This 18-nucleotide non-coding RNA is filed under the name Arabidopsis thaliana (thale cress). Lineage: Eukaryota; Viridiplantae; Streptophyta; Magnoliopsida; Brassicales; Brassicaceae. The record is from RNAcentral.
UGGAGAAGCAGGGCACGU